AGUGAACGCUGGCGGUAGGCCUAACACAUGCAAGUCGAACGGCAGCACAGUAAGAGCUUGCUCUUACGGGUGGCGAGUGGCGGACGGGUGAGGAAUACAUCGGAAUCUACUUUUUCGUGGGGGAUAACGUAGGGAAACUUACGCUAAUACCGCAUACGACCUACGGGUGAAAGCAGGGGAUCUUCGGACCUUGCGCGAUUGAAUGAGCCGAUGUCGGAUUAGCUAGUUGGCGGGGUAAAGGCCCACCAAGGUGACGAUCCGUAGCUGGUCUGAGAGGAUGAUCAGCCACACUGGAACUGAGACACGGUCCAGACUCCUACGGGAGGCAGCAGUGGGGAAUAUUGGACAAUGGGCGCAAGCCUGAUCCAGCCAUACCGCGUGGGCGAAGAAGGCCUUCGGGUUGUAAAGCCCUUUUGUUGGGAAAGAAAAGCAGCAGGUUAAUACCCCGCCGUUCUGACGGUACCCAAAGAAUAAGCACCGGCUAACUUCGUG
Molecule: ribosomal RNA, 492 nt
Filed under: uncultured bacterium
Lineage: Bacteria
Description: partial 16S ribosomal RNA
Rfam family: Bacterial small subunit ribosomal RNA
Source: RNAcentral